Molecule: ribosomal RNA, 454 nt
Filed under: uncultured bacterium
Lineage: Bacteria
Description: bacterial SSU rRNA
Rfam family: Bacterial small subunit ribosomal RNA
Source: RNAcentral
UACGGGAGGCAGCAGUGGGGAAUAUUGCACAAUGGGCGCAAGCCUGAUGCAGCCAUGCCGCGUGUAUGAAGAAGGCCUUUGGGUUGUAAAGUACUUUCAGUCGUGAGGAAGGUGUUAAGGUUAAUAACCUUAGCAAUUGACGUUAGCGACAGAAGAAGCACCGGCUAACUCCGUGCCAGCAGCCGCGGUAAUACGGAGGGUGCGAGCGUUAAUCGGAAUUACUGGGCGUAAAGGGCACGCAGGCGGUUAAUUAAGUUGGAUGUGAAAUCCCCGGGCUUAACCUGGGAAUGGCAUUCAAGACUGGUUAGCUAGAGUCUUGUAGAGGGGGUAGAAUUCCAUGUGUAGCGGUGAAAUGCGUAGAGAUGUGGAGGAAUACCGGUGGCGAAGGCGGCCCCUGGGACAAAGACUGACGCUCAUGUGCGAAAGCGUGGGGAGCAAACAGGGAUUAGAUACC